This is a long non-coding RNA of Vanessa tameamea, 1053 nucleotides long. RefSeq lists it as uncharacterized. The record is from RefSeq and is a predicted model, not a curated record. The transcript is spliced from 4 exons. Lineage: Eukaryota; Metazoa; Arthropoda; Insecta; Lepidoptera; Nymphalidae.
ACCUCGCAAAACUUUAUCCUAAGUAAACUCGCGAAAGUGGCAAAACAUCCCGAUACUCGCUCUGGACACUUUGUCCGCUCUAUUCGUCGCCUCGCUGCCCGCUCCGUCGACUACACCGCUCCGCGAACGACGGCCGUCUCCCUCCGCCAAACAAACGAGCAAGUUUUAAUGUUUUGCUCACAAAGUGUAUGAUUAAACGCGGAGAGCGGCGGAGAGAGUCGGCCGUAAGUUAUUGAUUUUCCCCGACCGAACCCCCGUCGACAACGCGACUCGCGGUCCGAUUUGAGAUCUCUACGCGACUAUCUCAUUUGCUAAUUUAUGUUAAAUAUACUCAAAACUACUUUUAUGACUUAACCAUAAACUUUUCUCACUUUAAAAGAUGUGUCAAAAAGUUUCCACAGAAAAAACUAACUGUUAGCAAGUUUUUUCGUGGAAUUGUUAUGAGAAAAGUUAGUAGUCAGUGCGCAAUCGUACCGCGGGCGGCACGAGACGCGCACCCUGCAACUUCACGUCGCUCUACGUUCCGAAGUUAACGCGAAGUUCCGCCAUUUUGGAACAUGCUCACAACCCACUUGUUUUAUAAAGAAACUUUUUAUUAAUUCCUGUGGGCCGCGGAGUGUCAGUAAGAUGUUUUGAGGUUAUGCCGUAAGUCGAUAUACGUUUGUCUGACUUGAAACUGGAGUUUUUUCGUGUUUAUCACAGUGUACGCGGCUUUUGAGUGUGUUUUUAAAGAUUUUACUUAUUGUUUUGUAGUGUAUUACGAGUGACGUUUCCCGGAAAAUACUCUUGUGAUUUAUGUUUACUUCAGCGAGCUAAGAAGGACGCUAAACAUUACUUCUUGACCUUGCUUAUGGACCGGACGGACUGAUAAGUGACAGAAUGUCACGAAAAUCUCGUCAGGGUUAUAGCAUUCGCCACUUGCUGCAGCUGCCCAAUCCGCGGUCCUCCCCCGGCCCGCAUCCCCCGCCCGGUAUCAAGGCAUCAUUACGGACUCGCAUGCCCUCGCCAUCUGAUCAAGAUGCACGAGACUGCGAUGACGUCAACAUUGACAAG